Molecule: ribosomal RNA, 714 nt
Filed under: Lacticaseibacillus paracasei
Lineage: Bacteria; Bacillati; Bacillota; Bacilli; Lactobacillales; Lactobacillaceae
Description: bacterial SSU rRNA
Rfam family: Bacterial small subunit ribosomal RNA
Source: RNAcentral
AUGGACGCAAGUCUGAUGGAGCAACGCCGCGUGAGUGAAGAAGGCUUUCGGGUCGUAAAACUCUGUUGUUGGAGAAGAAUGGUCGGCAGAGUAACUGUUGCCGGCGUGACGGUAUCCAACCAGAAAGCCACGGCUAACUACGUGCCAGCAGCCGCGGUAAUACGUUGGUGGCAAGCGUUAUCCGGAUUUAUUGGGCGUAAAGCGAGCGCAGGCGGUUUUUUAAGUCUGAUGUGGAAGCCCUCGGCUUAACCGAGGAAGCGCAUCGGAAACUGGGAAACUUGAGUGCAGAAGAGGACAGUGGAACUCCAUGUGCAGCGGUGAAAUGCGUAGAUAUAUGGAAGAACACCAGUGGCGAAGGCGGCUGUCUGGUCUGUAACUGACGCUGAGGCUCGAAAGCAUGGGUAGCGAACAGGAUUAGAUACCCUGGUAGUCCAUGCCGUAAACGAUGAAUGCUAGGUGUUGGAGGGUUUCCGCCCUUCAGUGCCGCAGCUAACGCAUUAAGCAUUCCGCCUGGGGAGUACGACCGCAAGGUUGAAACUCAAAGGAAUUGACGGGGGCCCGCACAAGCGGUGGAGCAUGUGGUUUAAUUCGAAGCAACGCGAAGAACCUUACCAGGUCUUGACAUCUUUUGAUCACCUGAGAGAUCAGGUUUCCCCUUCGGGGGCAAAUGACAGGUGGUGCAUGGUUGUCGUCAGCUCGUGUCGUGAGAUGUGG